Molecule: long non-coding RNA, 296 nt
Filed under: Elaeis guineensis (African oil palm)
Lineage: Eukaryota; Viridiplantae; Streptophyta; Magnoliopsida; Arecales; Arecaceae
Description: long non-coding RNA (EGUI_LNC051138)
Source: RNAcentral
GUAGGAAAUUCUUUUCCAAUUGCAUCUCAUGCAACUCUCAGCAUCUUUCUACCUCUAAAAUAUUCAUAGCCUUGUGGUUGCACAACAAACUAUAAUAUUUUAGUUAAGUUAGACCCUUCAUUUUCAUACAGUCAUAUCUGAAUGAUGUUGCCCUUGUGGUUGCAUAACAAAAUAACAUAUCCAAAAUACUGUAAGCAUCAAAUAUGCACUAACACAACCUCACAUCAAUCUCCAUAAUAAGCCUUGUGAUUGCACAAUAAACUUACUAUAGUUAUUGAUAUGAUAUUAGCUUAUCA